Non-coding RNA from Paramuricea clavata, 1520 nucleotides. NCBI's taxonomy places the organism in Eukaryota, Metazoa, Cnidaria, Anthozoa, Malacalcyonacea, Plexauridae. The record is from the annotation of a GenBank genome assembly.
UUUGCUUUUUGUUAGUCUAUGUGACCUAUGUGUUAAAUAGUGCCCCAAAAAAUUGAGGUUUUUUUUCUCAAACUAGACAAUGCAAUAGGCUAUUUUGUAGCGAACUUCGUACAUGUGUAUUGCCAUAGCAACAAAAUAUAUGUUUGACAGAGUAAAGUUGUCUACAUUUAAACAGAGUAAACAUAGCAAUAAGACAUAUAUUGGAAUGGUAUACAUUAAAUCAAUUUAUUUGUCUUUUUACAGCUAUGUAUCUAAGUAAGGAUGAAAUUGUUACAAAUUACAGAAAAGCAAACAAGAACAAGAACUUAUUUGAUGCCUAUGUGUUUGGCCCAGUUUUAAUGUAGUUAUAAUAACUUUAAAUGUCAAUUAUGGUUAUUAGCUUUUAGCCCAUUAAGCGCCAGCGAUCUGACAAAUAAAAUUGUGUGGCUUUAGACAGAGAAAAAUAAUAAAGUAUGACAAAUAAGGGCCAGAAGGAAUAUAAGUGUACAGCAAUACACUUGCACCAGCAAUACAGCAAUACAUUUACUAGUGUAUUUGGCACAAAUGUCUGGCUCAUUUCAUACAGGCAUCAGGGCGUAUGCGACAGGGUGUUAGUCAGGAUUUUGAAAGUGGCCGUCCAAAAUAAUUUUGUGGGCGUGGCAACAUAUUUUUGUAGGCGUGGUCACAUGUUUUUGGGCGUGGCCGCAAUUUUCUGUUGUUGAGGAAUUGUGUGUUUUAUUCGUUGAACCUUUUUACCUUUUAGAUGCACAUUUUUGUCAUUAAAUUAGUAAAAGCACACAUAUGGUAUGAUCACUACAGUAACUGUAACGUGGCGCUCGAGUGAUAAAGCGAUUGCUGUUUUUUAAAACAGCGGUUUCACAUUGUUCUUAUUGAUACUUCAUGCGAGAAUCAUAAAAAUGGUUACGAAAACAUGGCGCGUUUUACAAAAAUAUGGUGCAAAGUAUUCAAGAAAUAUUACAAAGCUUGUAGGUUGCUAUUUACAGAAAAUAUUCCCUUAGGCCGUCCAUUAAAAUUUAGCCAUCCAAAUUCAGAAGUGGCCGUCCAUAGGACGGUCGGACGGCCGCCUGGUUAACACCCUGGUAUGCGACUCAAUGGGUUAACUAGACACAUACUGUAGGCAGAUAGGCUAGUUAUAACCCAUUCAGCCCCAGAAUUCGUCCCUUGACAAGUAAAAUUAGGCGUUUGACAGAUUAAAAUAGUCUGGAGUUAGAGAGAAUAAAAUAGUCUGGCGUUAGCUAUAGUAAAAUAGUCUGGCAUUAGACAGAGUAAAAGAAUAAAGUAGGGUGCAUCAUAUAUAUUUUUUUGCAUGGAGGUAGAACAAUAAAUUUGGCACUUGUGUUUGUUUUAUAAUUGAUUGCAAUGGUUUUCUUUAGGUUAUGUUGUUUUGUCCCACUUUAGUAUUUUUCUCUGUCUAACGUCACAUGAUGUUACUUGUCAAUUGGAGAGUAUGCCACUCAAUGGGUUAAUCAAUAGGUGAAAACUAUAAUUGAUCUGUAAUGUUUAGUAUAACCAAUUUCUGG